UAUUCUAAAACUCAAUUUCAUAUUCUAAAUCUUCUCAAAUAUUGAUGCUAGCUUGGAAACCUUCUUGAGUUCCUUUUAUUCUCUUCAUAUAUAUAUAUACAUAUACAUAUACAUAUUUUGCUUCUGAAAACAGAAAAAGGAUAUGUCUAAGCGUUUUGAGCUCUUUGUCUUGCUCUUGGUGUUUGUUGCCACAUCUCAACAUGCAAUCAGUGUUGAACAACCCAUCAUGCCUAUGAUACUCCAACAAUAUCCAAAAAGGUAUCCGAAGAUUUUUGCUACCCUCGGAAUUGUUUGCAAGUGUUGCGAUGGUGAUAAAGGAGAAUGCGAAAGCGCAUGGGAAGGGCGUUGCUCUAAGCUCCAAUGUCUUCCAUGGAAAUAUGAUUGAUUCAUGAAUGUAAUUUUAAGAUAUUACAUAAAUGAUCUUAAAUAAUCUUUUAAGAUAUUGUAUUAUACAAAAUUUAGAAUUUGUACUCUUAGCUCUUUAUAUAUAUAUAUAUAUGGAUCAACUUUUAAU
Cornus florida is the source of this 514-nucleotide long non-coding RNA. RefSeq lists it as uncharacterized. The transcript is spliced from 2 exons. Lineage: Eukaryota; Viridiplantae; Streptophyta; Magnoliopsida; Cornales; Cornaceae. The record is from RefSeq and is a predicted model, not a curated record.